UACGUAGGUGGCAAGCGUUGUCCGGAAUUAUUGGGCGUAAAGGGCUCGCAGGCGGUCUUCUAAGUCUGAUGUGAAAUCUUGCGGCUUAACCGUAAGCGGUCAUUGGAAACUGGAGGACUUGAGUACAGAAGAGGAGAGUGGAAUUCCACGUGUAGCGGUGAAAUGCGUAGAGAUGUGGAGGAACACCAGUGGCGAGGGCGACUCUCUGGUCUGUAACUGACGCUGAGGAGCGAAAGCGUGGGGAGCAAACAGG
This 253-nucleotide ribosomal RNA is filed under the name uncultured bacterium. RNAcentral describes it as "partial 16S ribosomal RNA". It matches the Rfam family "Bacterial small subunit ribosomal RNA", at positions 524 to 776 of the family's 1533-position model. The record is from RNAcentral.